AAACGCGCUCUUCGAAUGACGCAAGCUCGACAGCAACCGACGACCGAAGCUCACUUUGAGCAGUCUGAUUGGUUGGAAAUUCCAAGUUUGGAAAAUCGAGCCAAUUCAGUACAUAACAGUAACAUAUUAGGAACCAACAGGAAAUUAACAAAACUGCCGAGUUUUCAUCAGACUACUCAAAAAUUAAAUAAAAAGGUCAAAUAGAAAA
Dendroctonus ponderosae (mountain pine beetle) is the source of this 208-nucleotide long non-coding RNA. RefSeq lists it as uncharacterized. The record is from RefSeq and is a predicted model, not a curated record. NCBI's taxonomy places the organism in Eukaryota, Metazoa, Arthropoda, Insecta, Coleoptera, Curculionidae. The transcript is spliced from 2 exons.